Molecule: ribosomal RNA, 1822 nt
Filed under: Escherichia coli
Lineage: Bacteria; Pseudomonadati; Pseudomonadota; Gammaproteobacteria; Enterobacterales; Enterobacteriaceae
Description: partial 23S ribosomal RNA
Rfam family: Bacterial large subunit ribosomal RNA
Source: RNAcentral
AUACAGGGUGACAGCCCCGUACACAAAAAUGCACAUGCUGUGAGCUCGAUGAGUAGGGCGGGACACGUGGUAUCCUGUCUGAAUAUGGGGGGACCAUCCUCCAAGGCUAAAUACUCCUGACUGACCGAUAGUGAACCAGUACCGUGAGGGAAAGGCGAAAAGAACCCCGGCGAGGGGAGUGAAAAAGAACCUGAAACCGUGUACGUACAAGCAGUGGGAGCACGCUUAGGCGUGUGACUGCGUACCUUUUGUAUAAUGGGUCAGCGACUUAUAUUCUGUAGCAAGGUUAACCGAAUAGGGGAGCCGAAGGGAAACCGAGUCUUAACUGGGCGUUAAGUUGCAGGGUAUAGACCCGAAACCCGGUGAUCUAGCCAUGGGCAGGUUGAAGGUUGGGUAACACUAACUGGAGGACCGAACCGACUAAUGUUGAAAAAUUAGCGGAUGACUUGUGGCUGGGGGUGAAAGGCCAAUCAAACCGGGAGAUAGCUGGUUCUCCCCGAAAGCUAUUUAGGUAGCGCCUCGUGAAUUCAUCUCCGGGGGUAGAGCACUGUUUCGGCAAGGGGGUCAUCCCGACUUACCAACCCGAUGCAAACUGCGAAUACCGGAGAAUGUUAUCACGGGAGACACACGGCGGGUGCUAACGUCCGUCGUGAAGAGGGAAACAACCCAGACCGCCAGCUAAGGUCCCAAAGUCAUGGUUAAGUGGGAAACGAUGUGGGAAGGCCCAGACAGCCAGGAUGUUGGCUUAGAAGCAGCCAUCAUUUAAAGAAAGCGUAAUAGCUCACUGGUCGAGUCGGCCUGCGCGGAAGAUGUAACGGGGCUAAACCAUGCACCGAAGCUGCGGCAGCGACGCUGAUGCGUUGUUGGGUAGGGGAGCGUUCUGUAAGCCUGUGAAGGUGUGCUGUGAGGCAUGCUGGAGGUAUCAGAAGUGCGAAUGCUGACAUAAGUAACGAUAAAGCGGGUGAAAAGCCCGCUCGCCGGAAGACCAAGGGUUCCUGUCCAACGUUAAUCGGGGCAGGGUGAGUCGACCCCUAAGGCGAGGCCGAAAGGCGUAGUCGAUGGGAAACAGGUUAAUAUUCCUGUACUUGGUGUUACUGCGAAGGGGGGACGGAGAAGGCUAUGUUGGCCGGGCGACGGUUGUCCCGGUUUAAGCGUGUAGGCUGGUUUUCCAGGCAAAUCCGGAAAAUCAAGGCUGAGGCGUGAUGACGAGGCACUACGGUGCUGAAGCAACAAAUGCCCUGCUUCCAGGAAAAGCCUCUAAGCAUCAGGUAACAUCAAAUCGUACCCCAAACCGACACAGGUGGUCAGGUAGAGAAUACCAAGGCGCUUGAGAGAACUCGGGUGAAGGAACUAGGCAAAAUGGUGCCGUAACUUCGGGAGAAGGCACGCUGAUAUGUAGGUGAAGCGACUUGCUCGUGGAGCUGAAAUCAGUCGAAGAUACCAGCUGGCUGCAACUGUUUAUUAAAAACACAGCACUGUGCAAACACGAAAGUGGACGUAUACGGUGUGACGCCUGCCCGGUGCCGGAAGGUUAAUUGAUGGGGUCAGCGCAAGCGAAGCUCUUGAUCGAAGCCCCGGUAAACGGCGGCCGUAACUAUAACGGUCCUAAGGUAGCGAAAUUCCUUGUCGGGUAAGUUCCGACCUGCACGAAUGGCGUAAUGAUGGCCAGGCUGUCUCCACCCGAGACUCAGUGAAAUUGAACUCGCUGUGAAGAUGCAGUGUACCCGCGGCAAGACGGAAAGACCCCGUGAACCUUUACUAUAGCUUGACACUGAACAUUGAGCCUUGAUGUGUAGGAUAGGUGGGAGGCUUUGAAGUGUGG